CCAGCCAAUCAGCAGAGCUGUCUAGUUGCCCGCCCCCCACCACUCUGAGAAAUGUGAGCAGUAAAUACCAUUGUUGUAUGCCAUGGAGGUUUUGUGGUUCUUUGUUACAGUGUUAGUCCAAAUCCACCACGAAGCAGAUGCCGAGAUGGAAUAAAACGUACAAGGAUUUUAUGCAGGGAAUAUCAAUGCAAGAGAAAAAAGGGAGGAGUGAACUGAGCGCCAGGACACCUGUCAAAAGGCAAUAACAAGAUUUUUUAAAAAAUUACUGAAAGAAGUUGGAGUUUAACUGGAAAGUCCCGGUGACCUCAUGAUCUUUGUGCUGUUUGUCCAGUGGGAAUUGCUACUGUGAUUGCUGUUUUCCUGCCUGGAUCCUGACUGAUGAAAUCUUUGAAAGAUGUACCACAUCUGUCAGUGAAGUGAUCUGAUAGUGAUGCUGUGUUCCACCUGUGUUCCUAGGGAACAGUCUGCUAGGGAUCCCUAGAGCAGCAAGAUUUUCAAAUACUCUAAUACUAUUUUCAAAGUUGUUUGUUUGUUUGUUUUGAGAGAGAGAGAGAAUGAGUGAGAGUGGGGAGGGGCAGAGGGAGAGGGAGAGAGAAUCCCAACCAGGCUCCACAUUCAGGGCAGGGCCUGACAUGGGGCUCGAUCUCACUACCCUGAGAUCAUGACCUGAGCUGAAACCGGGAGUGGGAUGCUUAACCAACUGAGCCACCCAGACGCCCCUCUAAUAUUAUUUUCUACUAAAAGGAAUCAGGGCUCCUUGGAGAGUGGCUGACUUUAUGACUCUCUGUUUGGAGCAGAAAGUAGAAAUGGGUUGGAAAAUCUCAUUGUUGCGAAAAAGCAAAAAUGCUUGCAGAGAUUUCAGGAAUUCCUAUUGGCCAGACUAUAACAACUUGAGCAUUGAAAAGAAAAAAAAAUUCUGUGCAAAACAAGAGUACAUAAUGAUACUCAAAAAGAAACAACUAAGGGGUGUCUGGGUGGCUCCGUUGGUUAAGCGGCUUCCUUCAGCUCAGGUCAUGAUCCCUGCUUUGAGCCCUGCUUUGGGCCCCCUGCUUGGCUGGGGGGGGGGGCCUUCUUCUCCCUCUCCCAUUCCUCCUGCUUGUGUUCCCUCUUUUGCUGUCUCUCUCUAUAUAUCAAGUAAAUAAAUAAAAUCUUUAAAAAAAAAAAGAA
Molecule: long non-coding RNA, 1167 nt
Organism: Mirounga angustirostris (Northern elephant seal)
Lineage: Eukaryota; Metazoa; Chordata; Mammalia; Carnivora; Phocidae
Exons: 3
Source: RefSeq, a predicted model, not a curated record